AAAAGUUUUCUUGAAGCAAGCACAACAUGAAACUGUAUCUGCUCGCUUUAAUAUUAAUUUUUGCUCUCUGGAACUCAUUUGCAGCGGGGGAUUGUUUGACGGAUCCCGUGACAAUGCUGUGCAUUUUGGACCCAAAUCAGGGCAAAUAAGUUUGUACAUAUGUACAUCCCUCUUCAAUAAAGCACAAAAGUAUAACACGAA
Molecule: long non-coding RNA, 201 nt
Organism: Drosophila rhopaloa
Lineage: Eukaryota; Metazoa; Arthropoda; Insecta; Diptera; Drosophilidae
Exons: 2
Source: RefSeq, a predicted model, not a curated record